This 165-nucleotide ribosomal RNA is filed under the name Cohnella pontilimi. RNAcentral describes it as "Cohnella sp. CAU 1483 partial 23S ribosomal RNA". It matches the Rfam family "Bacterial large subunit ribosomal RNA", at positions 2755 to 2925 of the family's 2925-position model. Lineage: Bacteria; Bacillati; Bacillota; Bacilli; Caryophanales; Paenibacillaceae. The record is from RNAcentral.
GCGGGAGGGAUAAGCGCUGAAAGCAUCUAAGCGCGAAGCCCGCCUCAAGAUGAGAUUUCCCAAUUUAGUAAGACCCCUGGAAGAACACCAGGUUGAUAGGCUCGGGGUGGAAGCGCGGCAACGUGUGCAGCUGACGAGUACUAAUCGGUCGAGGGCUUAUCCUAA